This 74-nucleotide transfer RNA is filed under the name Perkinsus olseni. It matches the Rfam family "tRNA". From Rfam's summary of the family: Transfer RNA (tRNA) molecules are approximately 80 nucleotides in length. Their secondary structure includes four short double-helical elements and three loops (D, anti-codon, and T loops). Further hydrogen bonds mediate the characteristic L-shaped molecular structure. tRNAs have two regions of fundamental functional importance: the anti-codon, which is responsible for specific mRNA codon recognition, and the 3' end, to which the tRNAs corresponding amino acid is attached (by aminoacyl-tRNA synthetases). tRNAs cope with the degeneracy of the genetic code in two manners: having more than one tRNA (with a specific anti-codon) for a particular amino acid; and 'wobble' base-pairing, i.e. permitting non-standard base-pairing at the 3rd anti-codon position. Lineage: Eukaryota; Perkinsozoa; Perkinsida; Perkinsidae. The record is from Rfam by way of RNAcentral.
GCUGGAAUGGUCUAGUUGCUUAUGACGACUGCCUCACACCCAGUAGGUCCCGAGUUCGACUCUCGGUUCCAGUA